This 253-nucleotide ribosomal RNA is filed under the name uncultured bacterium. RNAcentral describes it as "partial 16S ribosomal RNA". It matches the Rfam family "Bacterial small subunit ribosomal RNA", at positions 524 to 776 of the family's 1533-position model. The record is from RNAcentral.
GACGAACCGUGCAAACGUUGUUCGGAAUCACUGGGCUUAAAGGGCGCGUAGGCGGGUGGUCAAGUCAGGGGUGAAAUCUUUCGGCUCAACCGGAAAAUAGCCUUUGAUACUGGCCGUCUCGAGCGAGGUAGGGGCAUGUGGAACUUCCGGUGGAGCGGUGAAAUGCGUUGAUAUCGGAAGGAACGCCGGUGGCGAAAGCGACGUGCUGGACCUCCUCUGACGCUGAUGCGCGAAAGCUAGGGGAGCGAACGGG